This is a non-coding RNA of Acanthosepion pharaonis, 113 nucleotides long. Lineage: Eukaryota; Metazoa; Mollusca; Cephalopoda; Sepiida; Sepiidae. The record is from the annotation of a GenBank genome assembly.
UUACGGUCAUAUCGUGUUGAAACGCCGAUUUUCUUGCGAUCACCGAAGUUAAGCAAUGUUCAGCCUGGGCAGUGCCUAGAUGGAUGGCCACUUGGGAACACCAGGUGCUGUAA